This is a non-coding RNA of Chlorocebus sabaeus (green monkey), 1992 nucleotides long. The record is from RefSeq and is a predicted model, not a curated record. Lineage: Eukaryota; Metazoa; Chordata; Mammalia; Primates; Cercopithecidae.
CGCCGCCGCAGCCGCCGCCGCCCCUAGGAGCCGCGGGGACCCUCGUGUCGUCGCCGCCGCCACCCAGAUCCCCGCACCAUGCCAUCGGAGAAGACCUUCAAGCAGCGCCGCACCUUCGAACAAAGAGUAGAAGAUGUCUGACUUAUUCGAGAGCAGCAUCCAACCAAAAUCCCGGUGAUAAUAGAACGAUACAAGGGUGAGAAGCAGCUUCCUGUCCUGGAUAAAACAAAGUUCCUUGUACCUGACCAUGUCAACAUGAGUGAGCUCAUCAAGAUAAUUAGAAGGCGCUUACAGCUCAAUGCUAAUCAAGCCUUCUUCCUGUUGGUGAACGGCCACAGCAUGGUCAGCGUCUCCACACCAAUCUCAGAGGUGUACGAGAGUGAGAAGGAUGAAGAUGGAUUCCUGUACAUGGUCUAUGCCUCCCAGGAGAUGUUCGGGAUGAAAUUGUCAGUGUAAAACUAGAAAAAUACAUCUAUUCUAGAAUUUUUUAAACCCUUACCAAGGAAAAAAAAGGGAUGUUACCAACUGAGAUGGAUCAGUUCAUCUAAUCACAGAUCAUCCAACAGUAGUGUUCCCACCUAGGAGUGUUAGGAAGUUGUGUUUGUGUUUCAAGCAGAAAACUGAGCUCCAAGUGAGGACGUUCAGCUUUGGAAACUAUAUUAUUUAAUGUAGGCUAGCUUGUUUUCAGAUUUUAAAAAUUAAAAAAUGAAAUACUUUGCAUUCUAAGUUGCCAAUAAAAUACACCUUCAAGUUAUUUUAAUGCUCUUUUCUCACUAAUAGGAACUUGCAAUUCCAGGAGUAAUUUAAAGGCUUUCAGAGAGACCCUGAGUCUUCUCUUCAGGUUCACAGAACCCACCGCCUUUUCGGGUAGAAGUUUUCUACUCAGCUAAAGAGAUCUCCCUAAGAGGAUCUUUAGGCCUGAGUUGUGAAGCAUUUGCAUUUGCCAUCAGAGUUGGCACAAAUGCAGGGUAAAUGAGGUGUGUGUAAGAAAACGGCCCUGACUGUAAACUGCUGAAGGUCCCCAGCUCCUAACAGAACCACACCCAAAGUCCACACUCUUGCAGAGGUAGACAUUUCUGGUUUGUUCUGUAGAUAGUUACACACAUAAAGACACCACUCAAAAGGAAACUUGAAUAAUUUAUAAUUGUAAUCUAGUUUCUUAAAAGAUCCUGGAGAAAGAGUGGCAUUUCUUCUGUUUCAGGUUUUGAGUUCAAACUGGUGCCUGUGUUGUUACAGAAAGCAGCAGAGUACCAGUGUCAUUCUGGAAGACAGCGGUAGAAACCACAAAGUGGUAUAACUGAAAGCAUUAACAUUCAGACACACUCGCUUCCGCCUUCUGGCUUAAAGCUAUGGAUGAUUCACGUUGUUUUUUAAUGUUAAAUGUAUAACUCAGUAUUACUGAAAAGGUUCCCACAUUUUGAAUAGUAGUUGUCACUGUUAGGUCAGCCAGCCAUCAGAAUUCUCCCACACUAAGUGCAUGUCAGUUGUGGAGAAAACAUAGCAAAAAGAACCAUAUCUCUUUACAGAUACUAAUGUCAAGAGUUAAACCUUCUCAGGUUCAACCUGUGAUAAAAGACCAGUGCUUCCCACUACCUGCAUGGGGUUCGCUAUUUAUAAUUUUCUUGGGAAUAUCACAGGAAAAUCACAAUUACAUUACUUUAGACCCUAUGUGUAGCAGGUCACAACUUACCCUUGUGUGUUUAGAUGUGUAUGGAAUACCUGUAUACAUUAGUGAAAGCUGUUUACUGUAACGAGGAAAACGAGAUUCCUUGCAUCUGGGUCCUCUACUGAUCGUUAAAGGAGUUCCUGUCACCUGCUCUCCCCCAAGUGCAUGCGUCUGUCCACCUGGCUAAAUUUUAAUAUGUAUAUUUUUACAUUAUGUAAAUUCUUAACUGGCCUGUCUCGUUUAGACUGUAUACAUCAUAUCUGACAUUAUUGUAACUACUGUGUGAUCAGUAAGAUUCCUAUAAGAAAUACUGCUUUUUUAAAAAA